ACCUAGGCACCACCUUCGUCUUCGGAGUUGAGCAAAGUUGGAUCCAGUUGAGCAGCAGACAGUUUUUCUUUGCCUCUCUCUCGGCAGUCUUCGUAGCCUUCCGAAUAGACCUUCAUGAUUUCGACGUUAAGUUCGUCCGAAUCCCUGUAUUCUGCUUGAAUCUGCUUUCUCAGCUCUUCGGUCAGAAGAGGACCCCUUCCCUCAAGCUCCUUUAUUUUAUGACGAAGUUUGUGGCGUUUGUUCUUAUGUCUCCGCUCUUCGUCCUGGGCUUUCGAUUGAGCGUCGCCAAGCUGAAUUGCCAAGCUCCGGUUGGCCGAAGAAAAUUCCUCAUUUUUGGCCUUCAGAAGUAGGUUUUCU
RNAcentral lists this long non-coding RNA (357 nucleotides) under Panax ginseng (ginseng). Its description in RNAcentral is "long non-coding RNA (PGIN_LNC009460)". The record is from RNAcentral. Lineage: Eukaryota; Viridiplantae; Streptophyta; Magnoliopsida; Apiales; Araliaceae.